UACGUAGGGUGCGAGCGUUAAUCGGAAUUACUGGGCGUAAAGCGUGCGCAGGCGGCUUUUUAAGCCAGAUGUGAAAUCCCCGGGCUUAACCUGGGAACUGCAUUUGGAACUGGAAGGCUAGAGUGCGGGAGGGGGGUAGAAUUCCACGUGUAGCAGUGAAAUGCGUAGAGAUGUGGAGGAAUACCGAUGGCGAAGGCAGCCCCCUGGGUCGACACUGACGCUCAUGCACGAAAGCGUGGGGAGCAAACAGG
This 251-nucleotide ribosomal RNA is filed under the name uncultured bacterium. RNAcentral's name for it is "partial 16S ribosomal RNA". It matches the Rfam family "Bacterial small subunit ribosomal RNA", at positions 524 to 776 of the family's 1533-position model. The record is from RNAcentral.